This is a long non-coding RNA of Coregonus clupeaformis (lake whitefish), 978 nucleotides long. RefSeq lists it as uncharacterized. NCBI's taxonomy places the organism in Eukaryota, Metazoa, Chordata, Actinopteri, Salmoniformes, Salmonidae. The transcript is spliced from 3 exons. The record is from RefSeq and is a predicted model, not a curated record.
AAAGAGCAGGUGUUCUUAAUGUUUAGUAUACUCAGUGUAUGUUAUACAUAUGGGUACGUACAGAUAGAUACAGAAUAGUUUGCGGAAAUCAUAGAAAUUUAGAAACACCCAGAGACGAUAAGUAUUGGCCAAUACAGAUGAACUGUUUGAAUUACAUUAUUGAGUAGGUCCAAAUCACAGUUACAGUACUCAAGUUACCUCUUUCCUCCCCAGCCUUCAAAGGAGUGGACGUUCGCGACCUGGAGAUUGUGGAACUCCUGAGGAAGUUCCGUAUCCUCUGCUACCUGAAAAUGGUCUCCAAGUUCAGGCAGAUCUGCCUUAUCUUGUUGGCCAUCUCCAAAGCUUUCAAGGCCAUGACCUUCAUAUUGUUACUGCUGCUGGUGUUUGCUUAUAUCUUCGCUGUGGUCGGAGUCAUCUUGUUCCAGAGUUACACUCGCUCCAACGUCGAGGGCCUGGUCUACGAUAUUAACUAAAUGUCUACAACUCCUUCAUCCCUCUCGUCAUCCUCUUCAUCAUGGAUCACUAGUCUGCUCUGCUCGCCGACACCUGCAAUCUUCCAGAACUGAACCAAGCCACCUGUGGCCUGUACAUCAUCCCCUGGCUCCAAACAUAAAACAGACUGGAUUUCCAUUGCAAACCUUUUUAAACCAUUUUCUAUUUCAUGCCCUAAUGAAUGGCCCCGUGGUUUCCUCUGUUAGACUGGGAGGCGUACGUGGAGAACAACAUGAUGGUGAUACAGGACCUGGUUUCCUCGGUUAGACUGGGAGGCGUACGUGCAGAAACUCCUGGAUGAGGAGAGGAAGAGGCUGCAGAACCACCUGGACCAGGAGAGGAAGAGGCUGCAGAACCACCUGGACCAGGAGAGGAAGAGGCUGCAGAACCGUCAGGUAGCUAAUUUUCCCCAAACAUCAGACACCCCCUGACCUCGGACACUUUCUAGCGGUUGGAUGACUGAAUCACCUCGAGCUCAACAUUUAA